Molecule: transfer RNA, 66 nt
Filed under: Acrocrypta assamensis
Lineage: Eukaryota; Metazoa; Arthropoda; Insecta; Coleoptera; Chrysomelidae
Description: tRNA-Ser
Source: RNAcentral
GAAAUAAGUAAUUCAAGAAUAAGCUUCUAACUUAAUUCUUAAGCAAUGAGAUUUGUUUUUAUUUCU